RNAcentral lists this transfer RNA (88 nucleotides) under Virgisporangium aurantiacum. RNAcentral describes it as "tRNA-Cys". The record is from RNAcentral. Lineage: Bacteria; Bacillati; Actinomycetota; Actinomycetes; Micromonosporales; Micromonosporaceae.
CGAGCACGUCGUAGGGACGUGUGUACCGGCGGGUCUGCAACGCCUGCGCCAGCUUGAAGGCCUGCCGUUCGAAGUCGUGCCGCUCGGC